RNAcentral lists this unclassified non-coding RNA (1153 nucleotides) under Leishmania donovani. RNAcentral's name for it is "gene:LdHU3.32.0270(CDS-product:hypothetical_prote in_conserved)". Lineage: Eukaryota; Euglenozoa; Kinetoplastea; Trypanosomatida; Trypanosomatidae. The record is from RNAcentral.
AACUCGCGUCUGCUGCGCUGCCGGAGCGGUUUGUGGGGCAGCAUCGGCACACCCGUGGGACAUCUGACUGUGCGGAGAGACCCACUCCUCCGUUCGUACCCCCUUUUCGCGCCUUUCUUCACACGCUGCGUCCCCCCCCCCAUGCCAGCUCCUGAAGACGCGGCCUCGGCGCCCACUGCCAAGCCGCGGCGGAGCGUUGCCAACUACACGGAGCCGCCCAAGAAGAAUCCGUACCUCGUGAAGUUCUCUCGCUUUUACAGCACAAAGAUACCGAUGGGUGUCCGCGAGUUUGUCUUCACCGGCCCGCUGCUUCUCAUCACAUUUGGCGUUGCCUACUUUAUCCCCUCUCUCAUUCCAGCGGAGCAGUUGACACAGGGGCUGACUCCGCACAAGCAGGACAUGCGCGAGUACACGUUAGAGCCCAUCUACGGUGCCCGCGGUGAGCUGAAGGGCUACCGUCGCAUCAACACCAAGAAGAGCGCGGAGGAGUGAGUGAGCGCCAAGCCAUCCGUAUCGUAGGGAAGGGGCGCACGAGGAUGGUGACCGCCUUCCACCUUCGACUUCUGCCGCACGCUGCCGUGCACAAACGGCAUGCGUACGAGUCUCGAGUGAGAUUGCCACAAGCCGAGCACACUGCUCUUCCUCAUGGAGGCGGCAGAGCCCUUUUCGUGCUUAUCCGCCUUUACCGUGCCCCCUCUCCUGAACCUCCUGCGGUGAGAGGGGGCGCAUCGCAGCCAACAACAUUGUUCUCCACAGACCCCGCCGCAGACGAAAAAGACAAAAGAAACAUGGCCGGUGCCCUAGUUUUUGGAGAGGCACGUGACCGCGGCAUCCUGCUGCAAGAGCCUCGCUGAUGCGGGGCAUAUCCUGUACCCGAUCACCGCCCCAUUCAACAUAGUUGCGCACCACACACUCUGCUUUGCACUGCGCGGCGCGUUUUUCCAUCGCCUCCGACACCAUGUGUGCUGCUCAACGGGAAGCAUUCAGCCAUGACAGUUUGCCCCCUCCUCCCAUGACACUCGUCUUCUCUUCCUCCGAUCUUUACGGUGUUCUUGCACGUACACGCCCACGUCACAAUUUCCUCCCUACCUCACCCCACGCGUGUGUCGGCGCGCACACACAACUCCGCUUGGUCGGUCUUUUUCCUCACCAG